Homo sapiens (human) is the source of this 475-nucleotide long non-coding RNA. Ensembl annotates it as long intergenic non-protein coding RNA 511. The record is from Ensembl. NCBI's taxonomy places the organism in Eukaryota, Metazoa, Chordata, Mammalia, Primates, Hominidae.
GACCCCAAAUGCAGAGGAGCCCCUUGAACUCUUAGUUGCUGGUGGCUCCCCAGGUGCCACCUCCUGAGUCCUGGUUCCUGCGGCUCCGUCGAAUCUGCAGUGAAGGCCUUUGGGAAGCGUGGGUUAUGUGGGUCCAGGGGUCCCAUCCUCCCGUGGAGGCCCUUGACCUGAGGAUCACUAACUCACACCCCACCGACUUCCGGCCCCCAACAAGGGCAGUGUUCCUCUUGCUCCAUUCUGCUCUGAAGUCCCCCAAACCGCUUCCUGGGGCUGCUUAGUGAAAUACAAGGCUCAUCUCUGAGGACCUCUACAGGGCUGGAUGGGAAGGACUGAUCCACAUUCCCACCAGGAAGUUUAGCAGAACCCCCGCGUGCCACCUGGACCCCUUGGAAGGACCUGGCUCAGGCUGGACCACCUCUUGAGAGGCAGGAGCUCUGGAUUUGAUCAAGAAUUCUUUGCUGAGCAUGGUGCCUCA